GCCAUCACAAAGUUACUAAAGAAAGAUAAUGGAAAACGUACGAGUUUCAUAAAAAGACUGUAAUAUUAAAAGAUAGCCCAUGUUCUAUAAUGUGCUCAAAGUUACAGUUUACUAGGCCCACAAUUAGUGAGAAACCUGCCGAGUAGCUAGCACAAAUAUAGUUCAAAUUUCACCAUGUGCACAAGUU
Non-coding RNA from Arachis ipaensis, 187 nucleotides. The record is from RefSeq and is a predicted model, not a curated record. Lineage: Eukaryota; Viridiplantae; Streptophyta; Magnoliopsida; Fabales; Fabaceae.